GUUAGAAUGAUUAAAGAAUUUCGGUAUGAGAUGGGCAUGCGUCCCAUUAGCUAGUUGGUGAGGUAACGGCUCACCAAGGCGACGAUGGGUAGGGGGCCUGAGAGGGUGGUCCCCCACACUGGUACUGAGACACGGACCAGACUCCUACGGGAGGCAGCAGUGAGGAAUAUUGGUCAAUGGAGGCAACUCUGAACCAGCCAUGCCGCGUGAGGGAUGACGGCCCUAUGGGUUGUAAACUUCUUUUAUAUGGGAAGAAACUUAUCUACGUGUAGAUAACUGACGGUACCAUACGAAUAAGGAUCGGCUAACUCCGUGCCAGCAGCCGCGGUAAUACGGAGGAUCCAAGCGUUAUCCGGAUUCAUUGGGUUUAAAGGGUCCGUAGGCGGAUUUUUAAGUCAGUGGUGAAAGCCGGCAGCUCAACUGUCGAACUGCCAUUGAUACUGGAAAUCUUGAGUACAAAUGAAGUAGGCGGAAUGAGUCAUGUAGCGGUGAAAUGCAUAGAUAUGACUCAGAACACCGAUUGCGAAGGCAGCUUACUAACAUGUAACUGACGCUGAGGGACGAAAGCGUGGGGAGCGAACAGGAUUAGAUACCCUGGUAGUCCACGCCGUAAACGAUCAUCACUCGCUGUUGGCGAUAUACUGUCAGCGGCCAAGCGAAAGUAUUAAGUGAUGCACCUGGGGAGUACGCCGGCAACGGUGAAACUCAAAGGAAUUGACGGGGGCCCGCACAAGCGGUGGAGCAUGUGGUUUAAUUCGAUGAUACGCGAGGAACCUUACCAGGGCUUAAAUGUAGUAUGACCGGUCUGGAAACAGACCUUCCCUUCGGGGCAGAUUACAAGGUGCU
Molecule: ribosomal RNA, 846 nt
Filed under: uncultured bacterium
Lineage: Bacteria
Description: bacterial SSU rRNA
Rfam family: Bacterial small subunit ribosomal RNA
Source: RNAcentral